GACGAACGCUGGCGGCGUGCUUAACACAUGCAAGUCGAACGGAAAGGCCCUGCUUUUGUGGGGUGCUCGAGUGGCGAACGGGUGAGUAACACGUGAGUAACCUGCCCUUGACUUUGGGAUAACUUCAGGAAACUGGGGCUAAUACCGGAUAGGAGCUCCUGCUGCAUGGUGGGGGUUGGAAAGUUUCGGCGGUUGGGGAUGGACUCGCGGCUUAUCAGCUUGUUGGUGGGGUAGUGGCUUACCCAGGCUUUGACGGGUAGCCGGCCUGAGAGGGUGACCGGCCACAUUGGGACUGAGAUACGGCCCAGACUCCUACGGGAGGCAGCAGUGGGGAAUAUUGCACAAUGGGCGGAAGCCUGAUGCAGUAACGCCGCGUGCGGGAUGACGGCCUUCGGGUUGUAAACCGCUUUCGCCUGUGACGAAGCGUGAGUGACGGUAAUGGGUAAAGAAGCACCGGCUAACUACGUG
This 468-nucleotide ribosomal RNA is filed under the name uncultured bacterium. Its description in RNAcentral is "partial 16S ribosomal RNA". It matches the Rfam family "Bacterial small subunit ribosomal RNA", at positions 28 to 507 of the family's 1533-position model. The record is from RNAcentral.